Molecule: ribosomal RNA, 497 nt
Filed under: uncultured bacterium
Lineage: Bacteria
Description: partial 16S ribosomal RNA
Rfam family: Bacterial small subunit ribosomal RNA
Source: RNAcentral
GACGAACGCUGGCGGCGUGCCUAAUACAUGCAAGUUGAGCGAUGAAGAUUGGUGCUUGCACCAAUUUGAAGAGCAGCGAACGGGUGAGUAACGCGUGGGGAAUCUGCCUUUGAGCGGGGGACAACAUUUGGAAACGAAUGCUAAUACCGCAUAACAACUUUAAACAUAAGUUUUAAGUUUGAAAGAUGCAAUUGCAUCACUCAAAGAUGAUCCCGCGUUGUAUUAGCUAGUUGGUGAGGUAAAGGCUCACCAAGGCGAUGAUACAUAGCCGACCUGAGAGGGUGAUCGGCCACAUUGGGACUGAGACACGGCCCAAACUCCUACGGGAGGCAGCAGUAGGGAAUCUUCGGCAAUAGACGAAAGUCUGACCGAGCAACGCCGCGUGAGUGAAGAAGGUUUUCGGAUCGUAAAACUCGGUUGGUAGAGAAGAACGUUGGUGAGAGUGGAAAGCUCAUCAAGUGACGGUAACUACCCAGAAAGGGACGGCUAACUACGUG